GACGAACGCUGGCGGCGUGCUUAACACAUGCAAGUCGAACGGACAGGCCCUGCUUUUGUGCGGUUCUCGAGUGGCGAACGGGUGAGUAACACGUGAGUAACCUGCCCUUGACUGUGGGAUAUCUCUACGGGACUCGGGCUCAUACCGGAUAGGAUCUCUUGCUGCGUGGUGGUGGUUGGAAAAUGACGGCUGUUCGGGCUGGACUGGCGGGUUACGAGCUUGAUAGUGGGGUAGUGGCUUACGAAGGCUUUGACGGGUAGCCGGCCUGAGAGGGUGACCGGGGACCUUGGGCCUGAGAUACGGACCAGAAGGCUACGUGAGGCAGUGGUGGGAAGUAUGGCACAACGGGCGGGAGCCUGAGGUAGCAGCGCCGCGUGCGUGAAGCCGGGCUUCGGGGUGAGAACAGCUUUGGCCUGUGACGAAGCGUGAGUGACGGUAACUGGUCAAGAAGCACCGGCUAACUACGUG
RNAcentral lists this ribosomal RNA (468 nucleotides) under uncultured bacterium. RNAcentral describes it as "partial 16S ribosomal RNA". It matches the Rfam family "Bacterial small subunit ribosomal RNA", at positions 28 to 507 of the family's 1533-position model. The record is from RNAcentral.